CAUGCAAGUUCGAACGGCAGCACAGCAGUAGCAAUACUGUGGGUGGCGAGUGGCGGACGGKUGAGGAAUACAUGGGAAUCUGCCCUGUCGUGGGGGAUAACGUAGGGAAACUUACGCUAAUACCGCAUACGACCGGAAGGUGAAAGCGGCGGACCGCAMGGCGUCGCGCGACUGGAUGAGCCCAUGUCGGAUUAGCUAGUUGGCGGGGUAAAGGCCCACCAAGGCGACGAUCCGUAGCUGGUCUGAGAGGAUGAUCAGCCACACUGGAACUGAGACACGGUCCAGACUCCUACGGGAGGCAGCAGUGGGGAAUAUUGGACAAUGGGCGCAAGCCUGAUCCAGCCAUGCCGCGUGAGUGAAGAAGGCCUUCGGGUUGUAAAGCCCUUUUGUCCGGAAAGAAAGGUUCGCGGUUAAUACCCGCGGAUGAUGACGGUACCGGAAGAAUAAGCACCGGCUAACUUCGUGCCAGCAGCCGCGGUAAUACGAAGGGUGCAAGCGUUACUCGGAAUUACUGGGCGUAAAGCGUGCGUAGGUGGUUCGUUAAGUCUGAUGUGAAAGCCCUGGGCUCAACCUGGGAAUGGCAUUGUAAACUGGCUACCUAGAGUGCGGUAGAGGGUAGUGUAAUUCCCGGUGUAGCAGUGAAAUGCGUAGAGAUCGGG
RNAcentral lists this ribosomal RNA (659 nucleotides) under uncultured bacterium. RNAcentral describes it as "bacterial SSU rRNA". It matches the Rfam family "Bacterial small subunit ribosomal RNA", at positions 54 to 701 of the family's 1533-position model. The record is from RNAcentral.